Molecule: ribosomal RNA, 354 nt
Filed under: Triticum aestivum (bread wheat)
Lineage: Eukaryota; Viridiplantae; Streptophyta; Magnoliopsida; Poales; Poaceae
Description: partial small subunit ribosomal RNA
Source: RNAcentral
AUGUGCACUAUUUGUGGCUGGGAGGAUGAAAGUAUUUAUCAUGCGCUGGUUAAUUGUCCUAAGGCGCGAGCUUUUCGUUUUGCCAUGAGAGAUGCGUGGAAUAUUCCUGGAGAAGAGUUUUUCAGAUGUACAGGGCCAGACUGGUUUCUUAUUCUGCUUGACCAAUUGGGGUCAUCAGUACUAGAGCAAGUUACGUUCAUGUUCUGGAGAGCUUGGCACCUGAGGAAUGAUCUGAUCUUUGGAAGUGGGAAAGAAUCAUUAUCUAACUCUGUUAUCUUUGUGGGAAACUAUUGGAACUCCUUUACCACGGCAAAUACAUGUGUGUGUGCAAGUGGAUUUGAGCAACAAAGGUAA